AUUCUUAGUUUUCCGAGGCUACUCCAUACUGCUUUCCAUAGUGGCUGCACCAGUCUGCACUCCCACCAGCAGUGUAGGAGAGUUCCCUUCUCUCCACAUCCUCUCCCACACUGUGUCUUGUCUCGUUAAUUAGAGCCAUUCUGAGCAGAGUAAGGUGACCUCUCCUUGUAGUUUUGAUUUGCCUUUCUCUGAUGGCUAAAGACGUGGAGCCCCUUUCCAUAGGCCGGUUGGCCAUCCGUAUGUCUUCUUUGGAGAGAUCACUGCUCAGAUCUUUAGCCCGUCUUCUUAUGUGGGUUGUUGCUUUUUGUUGUUGUUGAGCUGUGUGAGUUCUGUCUGUAUUUUGGAUAUAAACCCCUUAUCCGAUUUAUGGUUUGCAAGUAUGUUCUCCCGGUUGUUAGGUUGUGUUUUGGUUUUGUGGAUGGUUUCCUUUGCCGUGCAGAAGAUUUCUUUUACUUUGAUGCCGUCCCAUUUGUUCCUUUUGUGUUUUGUUUGCAUUGCCCAGUCAGACGUGGUACUUGAAAAUAGGCUGCUAAGACUGAUGUCAAAGAGCAUACUGCCUAUGUUUUCUUGUAGGCGUUGCGUGGUUUCGGGUGUGACAUUCAAGUCAAACCCGAGGAGGCUGCAGUUCCCCGAGAGAGAGCGUAGCGGGGACCCUGCGUCCCUGUCAGCGCACCUUGCCGCUCCGCGGAGGUCCUAAGCAGCGUGUGGGCGGGGCCGCAGGAGUUCUGCCAGGAGGGUGUCCCCGUCGCUGUCCGCAGUCCACCGCCAGAGUGGGGGCGGGGCAACGGCCGGGCAGCGUCUGGGCGGCGGCGCAUGCGUGCGCGCGAGGAGAGGAGCGCGCGGCUGCUGGGCCGCCGUCCUGGGAGGCGUGGGAGUCCGGCCGCGCUGUGCUGCUCUCUCCCGGGCCGGGCUCGUCCGUUCCCCCGGCGUCCGUGGACGCCGCUCCGUGUCCCCGCUGGGCACAGCAGCCCGGGCCCUCCACAGCCACGGCCGCUAGCCUGAGGAGGCCGUCCUUCAGCUCCCGCUCUUCCUGCUCGCCGGACACGGACGACCGGGGCGCCUGCGAAGAUGAUUCCAUCUGGGAGAGGUACCUGGGGGCGUGGGCCUCGGGGCUGGUGAGAGGCGAGUGUCACUGUUCUCUGUGCAGAGCAGCAGCUCUCACCUCAGCUUGGCCACUGCGGUUGGGUGCCUCAAUCUGUGAUAGAAAGAAUGCAAAAAAGACAGGAUAUGUUCACCAUGAAAAAGUCCUACAACAGAUUUUCUAUUUGUAGGUAAAAUAGCAUUCACUGUAUUUUUGUUUGUUGGUUGAUUGAUAGGUUUUAUACGAUUACCUCGAAUGGAAUUCUCAGGGCAAAAUCUACCAUUACUUGGAUUCACAUCUGAGAUAUACUAUUUAUAGAUAUUUCAGGGGCCAGUACUGAGGCAGUUCAUGGCCAUAUAUCCUGAUCUCUAACUGUAGCUAUUUCCCGAAGGGACACGGGAUGGAAUGGUAAUACCAUUGAUGAUGGACUUCAUAUGAUGAUUUUGAUGAACUCUGAAUUGUCUCAACUAAGGAAAACCGUUUGUAUAAUCAACCAUAAUUUACUGAAACAAAACUUUGAGUCAAUCAGCA
RNAcentral lists this long non-coding RNA (1612 nucleotides) under Equus caballus (horse). RNAcentral's name for it is "lncRNA (ENSECAG00000046605.1)". The record is from RNAcentral. Lineage: Eukaryota; Metazoa; Chordata; Mammalia; Perissodactyla; Equidae.